AAGAAAAAUUUGUUCAGCAUAUGAGUGGUAGAUACGACCAAAGCUACAUCUCUCAGCAAGUCAGUGCUCCAGCUUAAGCAACAAGAAAAAAAAAAGCUCUAUAUAGAACUGUGACAAACAUAGUUACUGCAUGGAACUAAGAAAAUGAUGUUUGUAGCGUGUAGAAGCUAGAAAAGAAAGAUGAAAUCAAUUUAAACUUUUUCAAAACCAAUAGCUAGACUGAGACUGUUCAGUCCUGAAUAUAUAUGUGUACAUAUGUGUAUGUACACAUAUAUACAAACAUUGGGUUCUCAUUUUGUUUUGGAAAGGUGAAGCUGGUCACCCCCAGAGUUAAUGGGAAAAUAUGUGGGAUUAGAAAUUGUGCCCCAGUAUUCUGGGACUCCUGCCCAAGCCACAGUGAUGGCUUUUCCCCUCUUAUGAUUGCUGCUGUACUGAAAUUUACCAUCAGUCAGCCAUAGAACAGAGCAACUCCCAAGGUUCCAGCUACUACAGUGACUCAUUUGGUGUGUCAUCAUUCCCUGGAGAAUGGAGGUACCACAUCAAAUCAUGGCCCAUCCUAAAGUCUAGUGCCACUGAAAUUUACAGCCACAGAACUGAAUUAAUCAAGAGGAACAACAACAACAAGAGUUCUCUUCCAAAAUGAUAGCUUUUUUGUAGCUCUGAAAUGAGAGGAACCCAAUCCAGAAGAAUCCACAGAAGGAGGAAAAGCCAGCAGAAAGGCAGCAGAUUAGACACAAAAUUGUAAUUUUAAAGGACUGCUAAUGAUCAGCAAAUAGCCAAAGGCAGAGGAGUCAAUCCAAGAUCUCUUCGGUUCUUUCCUAAUCAGAACACAGAUUUACAAAGAUGACACAACUGUCCGGAGGUCACACUGAAAUUAUAGACAGAGCUGGAGUUCUGAUUUCUGAAAGUCCUAUUCUCAGUCACUAUGCUAAAUGAGCCUCUAAGGUUCUAUGCUUGUUUUCUUCUUUUAUCAUUUGUCCAAUCAGGAUAGGUUAUUUUGUUGAAAUUUUGUGAGGGAAAAAAAAUUUAUUUUAUUUGGUGGAACGGUUUUUAAUUGGAGAUGGGAGUGGUCUCAGCCCUUUAAAAAUAAAAGAAUGAGGUGAGGGCAAGAAGGGGGUUGUUAUAGGAGAAGGGCCCUAGGCUGGAGGUACAGAGCAAGGUCAAGGGGACCCUGACAGCUGCAGAGUGAAUAGCAUCUUUGCAGUCUAUGAGCUUACAGAUAGAGAAGAUGCAAUUUAGGGUAGGAGAGGUGGUUUUUAUUUCUUAAAAAGUAGUCUUUCUUGGACAGGGACAUACCAGGGAUACAACAGCCCUUUUAAUCCGGAAGAACGAGGGGCUGAAGGAAAUAAAAAGUAAGCCUGAACCAGACCAGAGAAUUAAAAUGGUAUGCGUUUAAGUUUGGUUUAUUUAAAUAUUUGCUCUAAGAAUAUGAAGUUGCCUAUAAAUAGAAAAAAGAUAACAGAAUGGCUGUUUUCUU
This 1477-nucleotide long non-coding RNA is filed under the name Homo sapiens (human). Its description in RNAcentral is "HSALNT0316149". Lineage: Eukaryota; Metazoa; Chordata; Mammalia; Primates; Hominidae. The record is from RNAcentral.